Stomoxys calcitrans (stable fly) is the source of this 1001-nucleotide long non-coding RNA. RefSeq lists it as uncharacterized. The record is from RefSeq and is a predicted model, not a curated record. The transcript is spliced from 2 exons. Lineage: Eukaryota; Metazoa; Arthropoda; Insecta; Diptera; Muscidae.
GCGGGUAUAUCAACACUUCUGAUGGAACGGCAGAUGUUAAAACAAUUUUGAAUUCGCCGUACAACAUAAAACGUCAAUUUAAAUUUAAAAAAUUCAAAAUUUAAUUUUUUGUGUUUUGUUUGAUUGUUCAAUUGAUGGAAUAAUUUCAAUAAUUCGUGGAAUAUCUUGUUUAAUAUAUAUUUUAGUUAAGAAGUGCUUUCGGUAAUUACUAAGAAAAAUUUACUGAUUAAAAUGUAGUUAUUUUUUUUUCGUGCAAAAACUGAAGUCGUUAUAUGAAAAGCUAAAUUUUUUGGUGUUCCUAAUGAUAAAGCAAGAAGAAUGAAAUGGAGUGUUGCUUGUGGUACGAGCUUGACAAAGUCAAAAAUAUGUGUUAGCCACUUUAAUCCGAAAUACAUAACGGGUAGUAAUAUAAACCUGCGGGUUUUGCCAAUCGCGGUUCCACAAUUGCAACAUAAAGAUAUAUUGCCAAGAUAUUUCCGUAUCCUAUUUUGCGAAGACGUCGAAUACGACAAUGACGUUUAAGCAGCACUUUGAAGUUUUAAAGAAACAAAAAACUAGUCGAGAGAUUGAUUAUAUGAGUGUGAGAGAGUUGCAAGGAACUGUGUUGUUUGCUUACUGGCGGCGACUGAAUAUGUUGUUGAUGGAUUUGUUUUUCAAUUGUUGCUGCUGAUAACAAGAACAAAAAUAGUAGUUUAAGGUGUUGCUGAUGCAAUGCUGGUACCCUUUACAGUUGAUGUUGUUUUGGUUGUUGCUGCUGCCAAAGUCACUGGGAGCAGGAAUUGAAAUUGCCAAGGUAGCCAACAACGUCGACGUCGUUGUUUAAAAAACACAAUGUCUCUUUGCCGUUGCAGUUGCUGUUGACAGCUUUGUUGUAUUCUUUUAUUAGUUGGUUUGCUAUUGACAACUGAGUUAACUUUUGUAUCCAACAAAUAAUCCAAAGCGCUCUCAACGAACACGCUUGAGUGCAUUUUGUAUAUAAAUACAAGAUGUUUUUUUUUUAA